CAAGAAAGCACCAGCAAAAGGGAAGCGUAAAGAGGUGAUGAUAUUUUCAUAGCUGCUUUUUAUUUAUAUUUUGUUGACGAAGAAAAUGAGUUAAUGUAAUUUUGUUUCUUAAAUAAUUAUUAGCGGGAUGGAGGAGAUAUCCAAGUCGCGGAUAGAGGAGAUACACCAAUCGUAGAAGUAUGCAGGAAUUUAUUUGGCCCUUCUGAGAUGGCUGUUCCAGAAAGAGAAAGCGUGGCUAUAGAUGUUACUGGAACCCAACCCCGAGAGCACUUUGUGAUGCAGAGUCAAGAAAGUAUUCAAUUUGGAUUAGAUAGAUCACAACCGUUGCAAUAAUGGGUUUGUUGUAAAACAUUUUGUGUAUUGAAUGUAUUGUAGGGGUUCUUUUUUUUAUUGAAUGUAUUUGAGGGAGGGACUUUGUUGUAACCAUGGAUUGAAUAUAUUUUGUGUGUAUUUGAUGGACUUUGUUGUUAUGGUUGGGUUGGAGGAACUUUGUUGUGUAUUGGAUAUAUUUUGUGUAUUUGAUAGACUUUGUUGUUAUGGU
Molecule: long non-coding RNA, 541 nt
Organism: Juglans microcarpa x Juglans regia
Lineage: Eukaryota; Viridiplantae; Streptophyta; Magnoliopsida; Fagales; Juglandaceae
Exons: 3
Source: RefSeq, a predicted model, not a curated record